UAGGGAAUCUUCGGCAAUGGACGGAAGUCUGACCGAGCAACGCCGCGUGAGUGAAGAAGGUUUUCGGAUCGUAAAGCUCUGUUGUAAGAGAAGAACGAGUGUGAGAGUGGAAAGUUCACACUGUGACGGUAUCUUACCAGAAAGGGACGGCUAACUACGUGCCAGCAGCCGCGGUAAUACGUAGGUCCCGAGCGUUGUCCGGAUUUAUUGGGCGUAAAGCGAGCGCAGGCGGUUAGAUAAGUCUGAAGUUAAAGGCUGUGGCUUAACCAUAGUACGCUUUGGAAACUGUUUACCUUGAGUGCAAGAGGGGAGAGUGGAAUUCCAUGUGUAGCGGUGAAAUGCGUAGAUAUAUGGAGGAACACCGGUGGCGAAAGCGGCUCUCUGGCUUGUAACUGACGCUGAGGCUCGAAAGCGUGGGGAGCAAACAGGAUUAGAUACCCUGGUAGUCCACGCCGUAAACGAUGAGUGCUAGGUGUUAGACCCUUUCCGGGGUUUAGUGCCGCAGCUAACGCAUUAAGCACUCCGCCUGGGGAGUACGACCGCAAGGUUG
This 550-nucleotide ribosomal RNA is filed under the name uncultured bacterium. RNAcentral describes it as "bacterial SSU rRNA". It matches the Rfam family "Bacterial small subunit ribosomal RNA", at positions 355 to 896 of the family's 1533-position model. The record is from RNAcentral.